UACGUAGGGUGCGAGCGUUGUCCGGAAUUAUUGGGCGUAAAGAGCUCGUAGGCGGUUUGUCGCGUCGGCCGUGAAAACUUGGGGCUUAACCCCAAGCCCGCGGUCGAUACGGGCAGACUUGAGUUCGGCAGGGGAGACUGGAAUUCCUGGUGUAGCGGUGAAAUGCGCAGAUAUCAGGAGGAACACCGGUGGCGAAGGCGGGUCUCUGGGCCGAUACUGACGCUGAGGAGCGAAAGUGUGGGGAGCGAACAGG
RNAcentral lists this ribosomal RNA (253 nucleotides) under uncultured bacterium. Its description in RNAcentral is "partial 16S ribosomal RNA". It matches the Rfam family "Bacterial small subunit ribosomal RNA", at positions 524 to 776 of the family's 1533-position model. The record is from RNAcentral.